Solanum verrucosum is the source of this 1600-nucleotide RNA transcript. It is a transcript of the gene named hydroquinone glucosyltransferase-like, with no coding region annotated. The transcript is spliced from 3 exons. The record is from RefSeq and is a predicted model, not a curated record. NCBI's taxonomy places the organism in Eukaryota, Viridiplantae, Streptophyta, Magnoliopsida, Solanales, Solanaceae.
CACCAAACACAUCUAUCUUAUUUCUGCAUUAAAAAAAAUUGCAAAAACUAUUUUUCUUUUUUGGGAUUAAUUCCAUUUGUUCAUCACCAUGACCAUACCUGAAAAAAUGGAGAAGCCUCACGUCGCCUUCCUCCCCAGCCCCGGCAUGGGACACAUUACUCCGCUUUUCGAAUUCGCCAAACGCCUAGUCAUCCACCACGGCUUCCACGUCAGCUUCUUCGUCAUCACCACCGGAGCUUCCGCUGCUCAGAACGAACUUUUCCGACCGGAGAAUCUCCCGGCCGAUUUCACCAUCGUCGAAAUCCACCCGGUGGAAAAUAUCUCCUCGUUUUUCACCGACGAUAUGAAAGUAGUCACGCAAUUGUGUAUCAUGGUCCGCGAAUCACUGAAACAUCUCCUUUCACUCUUAAUGGAAAAACGCCCAAAAGCUUUAAUCAUCGAUUUGUUCUGUACUGACGCUUUUGAGAUUUGCGAAAAGCUUUCGAUUCCUGUUUACUCUUUUUUCACUGCUUCUACUAUUUUAAUGGCGUUCUCUUUGUACUUACCGACGCUUGAUAGGGAAGUUGAAGGCGAAUUUGUUGAUCUUCCUGAACCUAUUCAAACUCCGGGAUGUACCCCAAUUUUCCCUCACGAUAUCCUCGAUCAGGUGAAAGACAGGAAGAACGACGAGUACAAGUGGUAUUUGCUUAACGUGAGCAGGUUGCCAUUAGCAGCGGGGAUAUUUGUGAACAGUUGGGAUGAUCUUGAACCUGUAUCCCUUAAAGCUCUUAGAGAAAAUUUGUUUUUCCAAAAAAAUACCUCUUCCUCCUGUUUAUACAAUCGGGCCGUUAAUCAAACAAGAUGAAGUUGUUACAGGAAAGGAUGCAGAGAUUUUAGCUUGGCUGGAUGAUCAGCCCCCUGAUUCUGUUCUUUUUGUGGUCUUUGGUAGUGGCGGCACCUUGACGAGUGAACAACUUACUGAGUUAGCUUGGGGUCUCGAAAUGAGUCAACAAAGGUUCAUUUUAGUGGCGCGCAAACCAAGUGAUGCUAGUGCAUCAGCAGCUUUUUUCAACGUGGGGAGCGAUGAGAAUGACCCAUUACUGUACUUGCCUGAAGGAUUCGUUAAGAAAACAGAAGGGAGGGGUUUAGUGGUCCCAUCAUGGGCCCCACAAACAUCAAUUCUCAACCACCCAUCAACCGGAGCAUUUCUGUCACAUUGUGGAUGGAAUUCGACUUUAGAAAGCAUAAUUCAUGGUGUGCCUAUAAUAGCAUGGCCACUUUACGCGGAGCAGAGGAUGAACGCCACCCUCUUAGCGGAGGAGGCCGGGGUGGCUUUAAAGUUCUCGAAAGAUCCUGGGGAAGAGCUUGUUGAUCGGAAUGAAAUUGAGAAAAAUGUGAGGAUUGUUAUGGAAGGAGGAAAAGGGAAAGCUAUUAGGAUGAGAGCCAAAGAGCUAAAAGAAAGUGCAAAAAUUGCACUUAACAGCGGAGGAUCGUCUUAUGAGUCGCUUUGUAGUAUUGUUCAGAUUUGGAAAUCUCAGUGACUCUCUUGUUGAAAUAAUAUUUACUACUUGUUUUGCACGUGUUUUAAGAAAUCAUAAAUAAAAUAUUUAUUUUUUUGUUA